UUACGGCUAUAUCACAUUGCAAAACCGGUUCCCGUACAAUCACCGAAGUUAAGCAAAGUCGAGCUUGGUCAGUAACAAGGUGGGUGACAGCUUGGAUGUACUUGUGAUGU
Molecule: non-coding RNA, 110 nt
Organism: Acanthosepion pharaonis
Lineage: Eukaryota; Metazoa; Mollusca; Cephalopoda; Sepiida; Sepiidae
Source: the annotation of a GenBank genome assembly